This 565-nucleotide unclassified non-coding RNA is filed under the name Hevea brasiliensis (rubber tree). The record is from RNAcentral. Lineage: Eukaryota; Viridiplantae; Streptophyta; Magnoliopsida; Malpighiales; Euphorbiaceae.
AGGAUUACUCUCUUGUCCGUCUCCGAGUCCCUUAUAUCGCCGGCUUUCUUGCCUUCAGAGAGGUUCCAAUACUUUUACCACUUAUUGAGAAGAUGAAGAACAGCCAAAAUCCUUACUACCCACAGGUGAUAAUGGUUGAUGGCAAUGGAAUGCUUCAUCCUCGAGGUUUUGGUUUGGCUUGUCAUCUGGGCGUUCAGGCUAAUCUUCCCACCAUUGGAGUUGGAAAGAAUCUGCAUUAUGUGGAUGGUCUUAAUGAAGAGGAAGUGAUAAGGCUUCUUCAAGCUGGAAGAAGAAGCGGUGAAGAUUUUGUUAAAUUGGUGGGAGACUCGGGGCGCAUAUUGGGAGCCGCAAUGAGACCACCUAGAGGCUCACAAGAUCCUAUAUAUAUUUCAAUUGGUCACCGUGUAUCACUAGAUACUGCCAUCAGAAUUGCCAAAAUAACUCGCCAGUAUCAUUUACCAGAGCCUGUCCGACAGGCUGAUUUAAGAUCAAGAGACUACAUCCGUGAGCAUAAACCAAUGUUGUUAAAUCUGGCAAAUAGUACCUGGAAAACUACUGCUGCUAU